Etheostoma spectabile (orangethroat darter) is the source of this 256-nucleotide long non-coding RNA. RefSeq lists it as uncharacterized. The transcript has 3 exons. Lineage: Eukaryota; Metazoa; Chordata; Actinopteri; Perciformes; Percidae. The record is from RefSeq and is a predicted model, not a curated record.
GUUCUGGACCGCAGAGUGGUGAAGGGAAGAGUAGAGUUUCUGCUGAAAUGGAAGGGGUUCUCAGAUGAGGAUAACACAUGGGAGCCGCAAGACAACCUGGAACUUGACCUUAUCGCCGAGUACAUGCAGAAACACAAGGAGACGGAGGAGAAGAAGAAGGAGGGCAAGAGGAAAGGUGUCGGGAAGGAGGAGGCACCUUCAGCAGACGGCAAGCUGGCGACCAGAGCAGGAAAGAAGGGCAAGAAGGAGGAGGUGG